CCACAUUCCAUUAAGUUUCCACAUCUACAUUUCCCUUUGCAUCAACCAUCUCCUCCCCUGCCCGCUUCCCUCCUCCCCUCCACCGCAUGUUUCUCCUGUAUGAAGACCCCAGCGUAACCUCUUCUGGUCAAGGAGAAACCCAAAGUCAGAAAAAUUGGAGUUAUGUGAAAAGUGGGGUUCUGUGAGCUGGAUUUACAGGAGGAUUUCUAAAAUUUAUUUAAGGAACAGUUAGGAGCAGGUUUCUCAAACAUGUGCCCAUGCUCAAAUGCUGAAAAUGCAAACUGGAGAUCAGUAAGGCCCGUUAUGCACAUGUAUUCUUCAUCUCUGAAAAUGGAGAUUGUGGCAGUGUUGGAAACCGCAAAUCCUGGUUACCAGUGGCCCGCUGACAUCCAUCUCCUUCCACGCCCCCCUUCCGGCGUCUACCCCCAGCGUCCCUGGGCCCCCCGAGUCACACCGACACGCACACCUACAGGCCGGCGGCGUGGAGCGUCUAGGGCACGAUGCAGCCGGACUGCAUUGCACAGUCAUCAAAGUUAAGUGUGUUUGUGGGGUGCUUCUGUGCCCCAGGGGAGGCGCGGGGUCAGGAGGAGCGGAGGCUCCACUCUGCACCCCACCCCCCCCACCUCCGCGGGUCAGGGGACGCCUCUACUUGAGAUUGCAGCCAUUUUAGGGAAAGAGGCGGCUCGGGCCCCGAGGGGAGUGGAGGGGGGACAGCACGUCGCGGGGGGCUUGCGGCUCUGCAGCCCCUCGGCGCAACUGGAAGGCGGGUAGGCGCCGGGCGCACAGGGGCGCGGCGCCCGCGGCGACUUGGGGAAGGUUGCGCUCGAGUUCCCUGGUUCUGCCUGGAGUUGUUCGGGGUAACGCGCCGGCUCCUGCCUCUUUCUCGGGUUCCCGCUGGGCUGGGAGGUGGUGGGGGAAGGUGUCGAUGGCAGAUUGGGCACGGGAGGAACGCGACAGAACCUGGAGACUGGAAAGCUAGCGAUGGGGGAAGGGGGGGUAUCUCCUCUCGCCGGUUGGCGCUGACCCAGACAGUGCGACCCACUUGGCCCCCCAUCCUCCCCACCCCCUCCCGAGCCUCUGCCUCCCCACCAAGUACCAAGUGAGCGCGCGGCAGGGGGCAAGGGGCGCGACGCCGCCCGGCACCGAGCCACCCCUUACCUGGUUGGAAGGGGUUUCCCAGGAGGAGCCGUAGUUGUAAAAGAAGGAAGAGAAGAGGGUGUCUUCCGACAGCCCGCAGCCCGCCAUGCUCUGGAUGCAAAUAAAAUGAGGAAAGAAAAAAAAAGCACACAUACACAAAAGCAACCCAAAAUUUUAAAAAUCAAAUUAAACCAAUAAGCCAAGAAGAAAUUCUCUCGAAAAUAAAAGAAAAGGAGGGGGAAGGGAAUGGCAAAGGGAACGGAAACUCUCGGCGGUGCUCCCUCUCCGGGAGAGGAGGGAUGCUCGGGCUGCCGCCGCCGCCGCCGCCGCCGCCGCUGCCGCCUUCUCAAGACGGUACCUAGAUAGGUUCGUCCUGACUUGGGCAGCCGCCGCCGCCGCCUGUGCCGGCUGCGUGUGUGCGCGCGUGUGUGUGCGUGUGCGUGUGUGUGGUGUGUGCGCGCAGAGCGAGAGACCGCAGGGGAAGCGAGAGGGCGAGAUAAUGAGCGAGCCGGGAUGGAGGCGCAGAGGCAGCGCGAGCGGGCGGGCGUGUGCGCGCGGGGGUGCGUGCGUGUGUGUGUGUGUGUGUGUGUUGUGUGUGCGCGCGCGCGAGCGCGCGCGUGUGGCUGGGUGUGCGUCUGUUUGGGGAGCUCACCGGAGAGCCGGGGCCGUCACGUGGGCGCGCUGACUCCGCCGGCUGCCGGGGACAGCCUGUACUACAGCCCCGGCCACUAAAUCAGACCACGCCGCCAGACCUUUUGCAGCCCGCGGCCGGCCGGCCGCCUUCUCCGACCUCCUCGCCAUAGCCGCCGGGCCAUGCGCGUCCCGGGACGGCAGGGGGCGCGGGUGAGGCCGCGGGCAGGUGGAUGGAUGGGUGGGGAGUGGGCCGCCCUGAGCCCGGGAAGAGGAAAAAUGCUCGAGGAAAAACACAGGCGCCCACCCCCCCGCUACGUCCGGCAACCUCCUGGCAAGCCUUCCUUCCGCCCUGUUUGAAGAUUUUUUUUUUUAUUCCUAAAAUUGCUUUUCCAUGCAGAGACCCCUCUUCCAGCCACUGGAAAAUUAUUUUCACAUAGUUGCUAUGUCCCGCUUUUCUUGCUUUCGCGAUCCCUCCAGCCCCCCCGCGCGCGUGUCCACGCAGGCACAGACACACCGGUGCCUGCCUCCUCCCAUUCCAAAUGCAAACCCACUUCCUUUUGCCGGUUGCUGUAGUUAAGCUAAGUCAAUGCUACAUCAAACUAGGCUAGGCUGAGAGGACUGGAAAGUGGAUUUAGGGGACAAUACUGCCCCAGCAGGAAGAAAGGCUCUAGUUUGGCGUUCUGUUGAUUUAACAGUUUAAAACGAAAAUGGAUUUUGUAGCUUCUGCACUAAAACUCAGGCCCCUUGAGUCACAAUUAUUUAAAGGGAGCUAUUCUCUAAAGUCCAUUAUAUGAUAUAAAAAUGUAAACGGAUAUAAUGUCGUCUUUCUCUCUCUCCUCACAAAAUGGUAUUUUAGAACCAAAUCUUUCAGUCUUAAUAAUUGGGUGGCUGAAAGGUGUGUUUUUUUUUUUUCUGCAAGAAGACAUUCUUUACUUGCUUCCCCUUACUCUUUAUACAGAUAUUUAUAGAAAGUAAAAUUUAAAUAAAAACCAGCAUAUCUGUGUAAGAUGCUCUUAAAAGUAUUUGAAUCCUUGCAGGAAGACUUGAAACAACCUCUUAAAGGCAGUUUAUAUUGUUUUCUUUCUGAAUCCCGUUUCCAAAUGCUGCCUAUUUUUAUUCAAACCAAUUGUGUUUUUCCAAGAGUUCACACUUCCACUUGUAAAUUCCCCACUGGAGGUCGAAAUCCUCUGUGAAAUAAACAUUUCCACAGCAACCCAGUGAUGUCAGAAACGUCGGCUAGUGAUUUCAGAGGGGAAAUAAAACAGGAGCAAAGAAUGGCUCUAGAAAGACAGUUCCUUCAUCCUUGCGAAUAGCAUGCCUCCUGGUAGAAAUUCAGAAAACAUUUCUGGCUAAAUACCUGUUUUCUUUUUCUGAGAUUGACUUAUUUUUCAAAGGCAUGUCAAAUGAUCUUUAAAAAAAAAAUAGGUCACCAUCCUCUUUUCUGGAUUGGUGAAGAAUGCUGUUUCAAAUCAGUGGUGCCUAACCACACUGGCCACUGUAGAUUUUUAUAAGGGGGGGAUAUAUUUUUUCUAAAAAUUGAUGUUGGAGAGAACAUUGAAAGAUGAAAUUUUACGUACUAACUUCAGGCCCAAAUAAUGCUGACUGACCUGGCUUCAAACUUACAAUAGUUUUUUUAAAGUAUUAGGCACACAGAAGUUCUAUUCAGUUAUCGAAAUUGGUGCUGAUCUCACCAAUAUUGAAUAAAGGGGCUUCUCCAUUGUUCCCUCUAUUGUUUCCUGUGUCUCCUGGCUGAGAAAAAGAAGGGAGGAAUUCUUCAUACUGCCCCUAAUUCAAUCCCCUUGCAGUCCCACCCCUAUAAACAUUAAAUGUAAAGAGACCAGAAAAUAUUAAAUUAGGCCCAAUGCCUGUGUUUUCUUAGGCUUCCUAUCUAAAUAACAUUUAUACAGAGCAUUAUAGAAAUGUCCACUUUGUAAACUGCUUUUCAUACAUACGUUAGCCCAAGUUAACAUUCUGUUCCUGCAGCCACUCACUGAUUCCCUGAUUUUAGCUCAGGUCCCACAUUCACACCAAUGGAAGUUCAUUCUGUCUGUGUUAUCCCAUCAUCUAUUUGUUGGAUAAAUGGAUUCAUUUCUCACAACAAUUUUGGGAGAAUCAGGACUCUUUAUCUCCAUUUUACAGAUGUGGAAAGAGGCUCAGAGAUGCUAAAUAACCUAACCCAGGUCCUGCAGCUACAAAGUGAUAGAAAUUGAACCUAAACUUUGUGACCCCACCUACCUCUUUCUUCCAGAUCUAACUGAGCCCAUCACAGGCCUGCUCUUCUAUGAACAUUUCCCCCCUGCAUACCAGAUGGAGUAAGUGAUUCCAACCCUUUCCCCCCAGUUGAUGUCAAGUGUACAUUUGUGAAAUGUCUUAAUUUAAAAAUUGAUUGCAUGUGCUCAUCACUGUCCACAAGAGCCCUGUUAGGCAGCAAUUAUUAGUUUUUUUUUUAAUAGACCAGGAAACUGAGGCUUAAGGAAAGACCCCCCUCCCCAACUCCCCCUCCUUCCUACAGCUAGUAAGUGGAAGAGCUGGGUCUUGAACCAAAGACUUCUGGCUCAUGCCUCUCUUUCCCUGAACAAACACACAGGAAAACAGAUACAUGGAUCCACCUAGCAGGCCCAGGGCCUGCAGAGGCAUCCAGGGAUAAAGAGGCAGGAACAGGUUUAAAAGAACCUCCUCUGGGCACAAACAGGGGAACACUGUAUAAAAGUCUCACCUCCAGCCUCAAACGUUUGUUUCCCCUCAAGUCUCCAGCUCUUUCUUUUUUCAACAGGAAAGCCCCCAAAGACGGCCACCUGAAUAGUUUUCUGAUAAAAUGCCUCCUUCCCUGCUUACCCCUCUCCCUGGCAGCUCUGUCACCCCAAAAGAAUUCUGCCUUCCUUGAUAGAUUUGCUCACCUGGCAUCACCACAGUAACCUGGAGGUUUGUUUGCUAGUUCUCAGCAACAUAAAACAAGCUGCCACCCCACCCCCUACCCUCACCGGGGCCCAGAACAGAUGGAGACAGCCCCUUGGGAAGCAGAGGGAGCCAUAAGCUCAUUGAGAAAAGAUCACUCCAGCCACCUUGCCAACUCCUUGCUGUGCAGUAUUCAGAAGUCUGAAGAUGGAAACCCAAAACAGAAAGCUUUUGAUUUCCAGAUCCGCUGUGGUUGUUUCUCUCAAGACAAACCAAACUUUCUUCUGCAUGUAUUCCCCUAUCAUAUUGCCAAGUCACAAUUUGUCACUUUGAAAAUAUGGAAUUUGUUGAACUGAUAUCAUCCUAUUAGUGACAAAUCCAUCUUUAUUCAUAAAUACUUUCCGCCCAAGAAAUAAGUUUUGUAUUAAUAUUGUAUUGGAAAUUAGUUAAUAGUCCAGAUGAUGUGGGGUGUUUUCCUUGUUUAUAAAUGAGGUGCAUUAACACUCUCGUACCACUAGGGUGUCAUUUAGUGAAUGACUGCUCAGCUCUGCAGAUGCAAGAGGCCAAAUUCUUGUAGAUGUGAAUAAAAAAUGAUCAUUUUGGCUAAAACUGCAGAUGGGAAGCAGAUGUAAUGUACAGAGGAAGUCGAUUUCAUUCCAUCUCUUUCCUUUAUUAAGUCUGUUAAUUUGUCUUAUUUAAAAAAGCAUUCUGAAUGCAAACACGUGUUAACUUGAGGCAAAGUGAAAACCAAUAUCAUUCCUGCCUUCAAGAAGUUUACAGUCUCAACAAGUGUUUGGUCUAUUAGGAUUUGGGGUUGCCACUAUUACUUUGAAACUGUUUAAAAGUUUACAUCUCAUCGAAAUCAUAAUUACCCUGGGGAAAGAUUAAAAUUAAGAAAUUGUGAGACACGGAAAUGUCAGGAGGGCAAAAGGAAUGUAUAACAGAAGAGGAAGUUACCUUUUGUGGAAAACACGUGAUGCCAAGGCCAGGGAGGAGGGUGCAACAGUUAAUGCAAAAAGAAACUGAGGCAGGGCCGGGCGCAGUGGCUCACGCCUGUAAUCCCAGCACUUUGGGAGGCCGAGGCAGGCGGACCACUUGAGGUCAGGAGUUUGAGACCAGCCUGACCAACGUGGUAAAACCCUGUCUCUACUAAAAAUACAAAAAUUAGCCAUGGUGGUGCACACUUGCAAUCCCAGCUACCUGGGAGGCUAAGGAGGGAGGAUCGCUUAGAUCCAGAAGGUGGAGGUUGCAGUGAGCUGAGAUGCCACUGCACUCCAGCCUGAGAGACAGAGUGAGACACUGUCUCAAAAAAAAAAAAAAAAUCAAGAAAAGAAACUGAAGAAGAAAUGAACCUCAAAACAGCUACAGCAGUAAUAAUAACAAAUAACUUAGUGAAUGCUUCUAACGUGCCAGGCAUGAUAUACAGCACAUAACAAUCUCUUUUGCUUUGGGCUUCCUUGAGAAAAGGAUUGGAGUGCAAGUUGUUUAUUUGGGAGGUAACCCUAGGAAACACAGGUAAGGAAGUAGGAGAAAUGAGAGAAAGAAGUGGAGGAGGCUGUAAGGAGUGCAACUCUGGGUAAGAAGAGUUUAGUUCUGCUUGGGACCCUCUGGGAGGCAGUGUGGAAUGCACAGUCUAGACUGACCCUCCUGGAAGUGUGAGGGGCUGGGGUAUUUGCUGAUCUUCCAGCUCCUCAGUGGAAGGCUACUCCUAGGUGUUGGUCACUCCCGGGCACAUCCCACCUGUGGCCAGCACAGGCAAAGUGGGGUCUAGCAGCCAGAGUAAGUCCUCGGGCAACGGGGUGCUGCUGCUGAUGGAAUCUGGGAAAUUCAUGGAAAUGGUCAUGCGUGGAAAUGGUCAGGGUUGUGCGGAUCUGAGUUGGGACCAACAGCAUCUGCGACACAAACAUUAACUCAUUUAAUUUUACCAAAACCUUAUGAAGUGGGAACGAUUACAUUUCCAGUUUCUCCCAGGAGAACACAGUCUGAGAGUGAGGAGUGGCAUCUGUUGUUUUUACCCAGCUAGUGUCGGUUCCCUCUUCUGGGAACAGCCCCCUGCUCUUCCUUUGAGAAACAUUCCCUUCCCCGUCUCAGUGAUCUGACCUCACUUUCUCACUCCAGGGAUGUGCAGGGGACCCCAGGUGACCGGAUGAGAGCUCUGCCUCUCCAGAGCCAUAGAGAUUUUCACCAGAGCCAUAGAGAGGCGUGCUCUCUCUGCUGGGAGAGCAAGGCUGGGAGAAUGUGUAAGCCUGGCGCUCUUCCAGGCCAUUUGACUCCCACCGGAAUGAACCCAGCUGCUUAAGAAUGAAGCCAGCUCAGAAGGAAAGAGAGCCUGAGAGGAAGCACUGCAGAUUCCUGACUUAGAUCCUUUGAGUAACUGGAUCCAGCCCAACCUGAAGCUAGACACCUCCCUGGACUUUCUAAGUGUGUAAGCCAAUAAACGUCUCCUCAUUAUAAGCCAGUCUGAGGCUGAUUUAUAGAAGUUAAGCAUUUUGGCCAAGAUCGCACAUCUAACAAGUGUGGAGUAAUAUUCAGAUCCAUACAACCCUAAUUCCAUAUGUGCUAGGGUUCUUAACCACCAUGCUGUACAGUGGCAAAUAGCAUCUAUGGCUGGACAGAGCUCAGAGCCACAUCCUUUCAUUGCCUGGCCCUCACUGGGAGUCUCUUCCCUUCCAGAAGCAGCUGCCAAUUUGUUUAACAGAGUAAUUGAUCAGGGUACAUCUUGAUUUUCUUUGUUUGUUUGUUUUUGACUCUCAUGGAGGCAAACAUCUCAGCUGUAUUUGAAUUGUUUGUUGCAUCAAAUCAUUAAAUGUCUGGACAUGUCUCGAUCACUUGGUGAAAGGCUGGAGUGGAGGUGAGAGAAAGUGUAAAAAGAAAAUAG
RNAcentral lists this long non-coding RNA (7543 nucleotides) under Homo sapiens (human). RNAcentral describes it as "HSALNT0070164". Lineage: Eukaryota; Metazoa; Chordata; Mammalia; Primates; Hominidae. The record is from RNAcentral.